Molecule: long non-coding RNA, 1013 nt
Organism: Oryza brachyantha (malo sina)
Lineage: Eukaryota; Viridiplantae; Streptophyta; Magnoliopsida; Poales; Poaceae
Exons: 3
Source: RefSeq, a predicted model, not a curated record
ACCAGAAAUUAAUUCCUCUUGUGCUCCAUUUUUCGCCGCAUCGUGGCUAUAGUAAGCUUGUGUGGUGUUCGUGCAAGUUCCUGAGUGCAAUAGUUGGGAACUUGUUGACAAUUGGUAUCAAAGCGAGGUUCAAGGCUUGCACAACACUGGAUGAUUCGCCGAACCACCACACUCCUUCACCACGCGGUGGAUCACCAGCCCAAGGCUGAGGCGUGGCCGUCAGAGCUAUCAGGAGUACGCUCAAUUCAAACCAUAAACCUGGCUCUGAUACCAAAUGUUGAGAAGUUCCCCGUGAUCUGACCGAACCGAGAUCCACGUCCACGUGUUCAUAGCGAGUACAAAGAGGUGUCCCUGCAGCCUCACAACCACUCCAGUGCUUCAACAAAAACUUGCUACUUAAAGCGGGCGAUACCUCUCACUGACAAACCGAGCCAACGGCGGUGGCGUCGAUGCGGAUCAGCGCCGCCACGCCGUCUCGGCUCUCCCAGCGCCGGCCGACGGUGAGUCGUCUCCCAGCUAGGCUAACGUCCGACGUUCCGCCUCCGACGAUGAUGCGCCAUGGUCUGGGCUUACGGCUGCACCAAUCCAGUUGGUUUAGCACAGAAGAGUGACAACGGCGCAGCUGAAAUUUCUCUGCAUUGCAACUGAGAGAGGAAGAUACAUUUUCAGUUGCAAGGUCGUCCUCUGAAAGAAUAAAAAUCCAGCUUGUGCUGGAAAUUAGAAAUUGGCAAUUUGGAUAGAUGAUAUUUCGUAGUAGAUUACGACGGUUUACUAUCUAAUGAAGGAGAAAAUAGUAUAUCUAUCACUCUUAUCAGGUGGUUUCGCAAAAAUAGCACCGCUAACAUGGGCUUCGCAAAAAUACCAUCCCUAACGUGUGCAUUGCAGCAGAUAUACCAUUUUGGAGCUUUUUUGCAUCUUGCUCCUCCUUUUUGGUCCCUGUCAGAUUUUCUCGGACGAAACUGCCCCUCUUCAUUUUUUCUCUCCAGCGUGCGUGCGUUUCCUCUCGGUUCUGU